Molecule: ribosomal RNA, 490 nt
Filed under: uncultured bacterium
Lineage: Bacteria
Description: partial 16S ribosomal RNA
Rfam family: Bacterial small subunit ribosomal RNA
Source: RNAcentral
AUUGAACGCUGGCGGCAUGCCUUACACAUGCGAGUCGAACGGCAGCAUGAUCUGGCUGGCUAGAUUGAUGGCGAGUGGCACACGGGUGAGUCAUAUAGCGAAACGUGCUCUGAGAUGGGGGUAAACUAGUCGAACGAGUAGCAAAUACGGCAAACGACCUGAAGGGGAAGGUGGGGUACCGAAAGGCGGCAUUCCAGACAAUCGGCCAAGGACUGAUUAGCUAGUUGGUGAGGUAAAGGCUCACCAAGGCGACGAUCAGUAGCUGGUCUGAGAGGAGGAUCAGCCACACUGGAACUGAGACACGGUCCAGACUCCUACGGGAGGCAGCAGUGGGGAAUCUUGCACAAUGGGCGAAAGCCUGACCCAGCAAUGCCGCGUGUGUGAUGAAGGCCUUCGGGUUGUAAAGCUCUUUUGUUCGGAAAGAAAAAGCUCUGAUUAAUCCCUGGGCUUGUUGACGGUACCGGAAGAGUAAGCCCCGGCUAACUACGUG